This is a non-coding RNA of Camellia sinensis, 336 nucleotides long. Lineage: Eukaryota; Viridiplantae; Streptophyta; Magnoliopsida; Ericales; Theaceae. The record is from RefSeq and is a predicted model, not a curated record.
UAGGUCAAGACGAGGACAUCGUUCCACCGCUAUCAGAGACCUACCAUUGUGAGUCAUCGGGGAUUGACACUAGAGUUGUACCAAGGUUUGCCUGUCUGCCAAGACACCUGGGGUGGAGGCAAUCCAAGUUAAUGCUGAUGAAGGUGGAUUUACACAAACAUGUGGUGGCAUAUAUUGGGUGAUCUUCCCAGCUGGAUGCUGUCCCUUGCUCAUUCCUGAUAAAUUUUCUUUUUAUUGCCAGAAUGCAAAACUAUUAUUUUCAUGUGACAAAAUGCAUUUUUGGAACACGCCAAGCAUCCUUGACUUCCAUGUUACUAAGUUAUAAUGCGCCCACAU